This 468-nucleotide ribosomal RNA is filed under the name uncultured bacterium. RNAcentral's name for it is "partial 16S ribosomal RNA". It matches the Rfam family "Bacterial small subunit ribosomal RNA", at positions 28 to 507 of the family's 1533-position model. The record is from RNAcentral.
GACGAACGCUGGCGGCGUGCUUAACACAUGCAAGUCGAACGGAAAGGCCCUGCUUUUGUGGGGUGCUCGAGUGGCGAACGGGUGAGUAACACGUGAGUAACCUGCCCUUGACUUUGGGAUAACUUCAGGAAACUGGGGCUAAUACCGGCUAGGAGCUCCUGCUGCAUGGUGGGGGUUGGAAAGUUUCGGCGGUUGGGGAUGGACUCGCGGCUUAUCAGCUUGUUGGUGGGGUAGUGGCUUACCAAGGCUUUGACGGGUAGCCGGCCUGGGAGGGUGACCGGCCACAUUAGGACUGAGAUACGGCCCAGACUCCUACGGGAGGCAGCAGUGGGGAGUAUUGCACAAUGGGCGGAAGCCUGAUGCGGCAACGCCGCGUGCGGGAUGACGGCCUUCGGGUUGUAAACCGCUUUCGCCUGUGACGAAGCGUGAGUGACGGUAAUGGGUAAAGAAGCACCGGCUAACUACGUG